UAGGGAAUCUUCCACAAUGGACGCAAGUCUGAUGGAGCAACGCCGCGUGAGUGAAGAAGGUCUUCGGAUCGUAAAGCUCUGUUGUUGGUGAAGAAGGAUAGAGGCAGUAACUGGUCUUUAUUUGACGGUAAUCAACCAGAAAGUCACGGCUAACUACGUGCUAG
RNAcentral lists this ribosomal RNA (164 nucleotides) under uncultured bacterium. RNAcentral's name for it is "partial 16S rRNA". It matches the Rfam family "Bacterial small subunit ribosomal RNA", at positions 355 to 511 of the family's 1533-position model. The record is from RNAcentral.